AAGACCUUGCGCUUUUGGAGCGGCCGAUGCCUGAUUAGCUUGUUGGUAAGGUAAAAGCUUACCAAGGCUUCGAUCAGUAGCUGGUCUGAGGGGACGGCCAGCCACACUGGGACUGAGACACGGCCCAGACUCCUACGGGAGGCAGCAGUGGGGAAUUUUGGACAAUGGGGGCAACCCUGAUCCAGCCAUGCCGCGUGAGUGAAGAAGGCCUUCGGGUUGUAAAGCUCUUUCAGCCGGAACGAAACGGUUACGGUUAAUACCCGUGAUUACUGACGGUACCGGAAGAAGAAGCACCGGCUAACUACGUGCCAGCAGCCGCGGUAAUACGUAGGGUGCGAGCGUUAAUCGGAAUUACUGGGCGUAAAGGGUGCGCAGGCGGUCUUGUAAGUCAGAUGUGAAAUCCCCGGGCUCAACCUGGGAACU
Molecule: ribosomal RNA, 423 nt
Filed under: uncultured bacterium
Lineage: Bacteria
Description: bacterial SSU rRNA
Rfam family: Bacterial small subunit ribosomal RNA
Source: RNAcentral